GACACUACUGGUGUCCCUGAUGUUUGGUCAUUUUCAAUGCCAAUAACUAAGCUACAAUGGUUCUCCCACACCUGGAAGCUAAUGAGUAAUGAGCACCAUUAAGGCUUAUUUAAAUGUAAAAAACCUUGAGAUAAUGUACUAAAUUGUUCAGAAGGUUGUUUUCUUAGUGGAAUGCUACAGGAUUUUCUUUAGCAUCUUUGCAAGAGUUCCUGCCUUCGUCCCAGUGCCAUUGAGGACGAGGAUGGAAAAAUUUCCAGUGUUGCUGAAAACCGGAUGAAACUUCGGCUGAAAAACGGACGAGACUUCGGAUCUGUUGCUGUUUCUGCUGCUACAGCUUAGGCUAGCUGCCUGAAGAACUUACCUGGACUGUGAUUUAAGCUAGCUGCCUGCAGAACUUACCUGGACUGUGAUUUACCUGGACUGUGAGUUAAUCUAUUGAGAUACUGCUUUACCUGGACUGAGACAAAAAACUGUAAUCUAUAACAAAUUGUAAUUCGGUAUCUUUGCUAACAGUGUCAUUGCUGGUAUAAUUUUUCCAAGGGCUUCUUGCAUGGAGCCAUCAAUUGGCUUGGUAUUGUGACAUUUUGUAUCCUCCCCUUCUGCUUGUAGCAGAUUAUUUAUGGUGUUUGUGUAAAAACCACUAUGGUUGUUAUUUAAAUUAAACAAAAGGGGGAAAUGUUAGAGUCUGUAAACAAGUCAAAAUAACACCUGGCAUUUAGCCAGGGGAAUGUUAGAGUUCAUAAACAAGUCUGGAUGGUGCCUGGCAAAAUGCCAGAGGGAGUGGUUUGAGA
Molecule: long non-coding RNA, 791 nt
Filed under: Marmota monax (woodchuck)
Lineage: Eukaryota; Metazoa; Chordata; Mammalia; Rodentia; Sciuridae
Source: RNAcentral